CCUUUCCUCUGGACUGCCUGGGAGGAUGUGUGUGCUCCUUUCUUGCUUCUUGAGUAGCAGUGAGGAAGGAAUGGAUGCAAGGAUGUGAAGAUUGAUCAGAAAGGCACAUUAUUGCAUGUGAAAAUGAGAUGGAUACAUUUGACACCUGGCUAAAUUCCAGCCAGGUUGUUGUCUUGCGAGAGGGGAUUUAUGUGUGGAAGCUAGCAGGCCGACUGAAUAAAGUGGGGGGAGAGAAGAGGCUUCCUUCAUCUGGAAAUCCGCAGGAUUUUACUGACGUUUCGCUUCAGGGAGUAGAGCUCCAAGGACACCUGUGUGCAUCUGCCUAGAGAUAGGUGUGUGUGUUUUGUGUGUGUGUGUGUGUGUGUGUGUGUGUGUAGGGAGGAGUAGGCAUUUCAUCAAAAAUACAUUUGAAAAAUGUUGGUUCUAAAAUGCAGUCGUUAUCAAUUCGGGCCAGGUGCCAAAGUCACUAACGUGUCCAGGUUCACUCCUGGAAGGCAGCAACAUUCUUGCUUUUGAUGGUACGAAUAUGGCUUCUUUCAUUUCUUUAGCUCUUUAUGGUACUUCUUUUGAGUGAGGCGAGGCUCUAGGUUUCCCCUCCUCCUUUCUUGAUCUCGGCAAACAAAACCAUUCUACCACUUGAGCCAUCUGCCGCAGGUGUAAUGGAUGGCAGGGGGCCGACCUAACCACACUCCAGUCUCUUCUAGGUCGUCACCGCUCUGCACCAAACAAAUGAGUCCUGUUUCACCACUAGGGUGCCGAGGUAGAUGGUGGAUGCUGGCCCCCGCCCCUGGCAGCGCUCAGCGCUUAGAAACCAGAGCCAGCUGACAACACGCGAAACACACAGGCACAGCGAAAACGCCGAGCCGACGCGCACUCCCUCUGCCCCCUCCCUCUGCUCUCUGUAACAAGGAGGACACGUACACAGCCUUUACACACUUAAAAGCCCUUGCGACUCCCUCUGAAUUCUUAGUUACUUAUGACGGCCUUCCUCACUGCACAUAGCCCCUGGUGUGUGUGUGUGUGUGUGUGUGUGUACGCGCGCGCGCGCGCACGCGUGAAUGUGCAUGUGUGUUUAAAACGCUUAUUGGUAGGUCAUCAGCAGCUGAUCAGACAUGGUAAUCCAAUAAUUUUUUUGAAUACACACAAUUUUUCGUUGAAGGUAAUUUUUUUUAAAGAAAAAUGGAAAACUAUUAAUUUUCUGCGCAAGUCUAGGGUUCCCAGUUUAGGUUCCAGAGAACAGCAGAUCUGCGCAGCCCCAGCCUUACCAAACUUUCCUUUUCUAGGGUUUGAAAGAGGCUCUCAUUCUCACUUCAUGACAGAGCAGCGGCUCAUUUGCACUCGGGUGUGUAAAGGAUGGAGCUGUCGGACGCGCCGCUUAGGAAGGGAAAUCGGAUAGCUGGAGCCCCCCGCAGUCGCUCGGAACCUUGGCUGGAGGCACAAGGUGCCCAGGGGCAAGAGCCCGGGGUCCAAGCUUCCAGGCGCACAUCAUCCUCUGGGCCCCGGGCCCUCCGGCUGGAGCACUCCCUCACCCGCAUCCCAUCCCCGUUCCAUUUUGAUCAUUAUUUGAAUAGCCCAGACAACAGUGAUAAGAGAGGAAGUAAAGAGCACGCAGACCCCCGCCCAGCCCGCACCGGUGUUCGCAGUGUCUGGAGCACACACUCCAAACACAUCGGGACCCCCACCCCCAUGAAUUCGCUGUGUUUGAGACUCAGUUUCUGAGGCCAAGAGUUCGUUCUCGGUGGAUCGCCACACGUUGAAAAAUGGAUAUUUGUGUAAGGUCAACAUUCAGGCUAUAGUACAAUGGCAUGGUGGAGAGAAAACACUUUUCAUUGUUUAACAGUUACUGAUUAAACUGCCCUGCAUAUUGAAUAACAUUUUUGAGAAUUUGCCUUUUUUUCUUUAGAAUUAUUAGCCAGUGUUUUAAUGAGGCCUCAGGAUUGGGUUGCAUGGAGGAAAGUGAGGGGUUCAAUAAGGUACAGCUUUGAUAUACAGAACAAUUACAUAAAAGAAGUAAUUUAUUUUUGAAGAGGACAAAAGAAAUUUGGGGUUAUGUUUAAGUACAACUUAGCAGUUGCAAAACUAUGUUUUAAACAGACAAUUUGAUAAUUUGCAUUUCUUUUUUCCCCUCUUAAACCAUUUACAACCUGGGAAAUUUACUCUUGUUAACUAGUAAAACACCUGAAGGCUUGAAUUAGACACCAAGUAGCCGCUGAUGUCCCAACAACCUCCAACCUGCCCCUCUGGAAGGUGUGGAAUCUUUUAUAAGUACUCAAGAAAAGCUCCCAAAGCUCAACUAGGUUCUAUGGUGCCCUCACUGAGGAGUGUGCUUUAAGGUUAUCAGUCUUUUAAGCACCACGUGAUUAGACAGGAAAGGUAACUUGAAAACACAACCUGAUUCUGAGCGAAAUCAUUUUGUCCUGUUGGCAUGAAAAUGUAGUUACACCUCCAAGUUCUGCUCAGGAACAGACGGCUGCGUGUGGGGGCUGGUCCCUAUCCAGAUCAGUACAGGAUCUUCAGCUGGCAGAGGAGAUCCAGCAAAUGGAAUUCACGAAGAAACUCAUGUGCGUUUGGAAAACAAGGUGGGGGAGAGUGCUGCUUCCUGAUUGCUUUCGCUGAGGUCUCCUAUGAUCAUCAAUGGCUUUGGCAACAGCAGGGAAGGCAAAAAUAAUUCACCACCAAACAGUUUUGACCACGACAUAUUUAAUGGGGCUAGUUUGAACUUUGUUUUAAAAAAUUUCCUGGCAGAUAUUAGUCUUCUCCCUGCUUAUCUCUUACAAUAUUUUUUAAAAAUGUCAUUUAUAGGUAGCCAUUGCAUGGGGUUGUGCUACAAUUAACACACAGGUACUGGGGCACUUCAGGCCCAUGUAAAUAUCCAGUGUAAAGGAUUCACCAGAUUUCCUGGCAGCAGCCUCUGCAAAUGGAAGCUGCUCCAGAAAGAGACAUUUUUAUUUGUGUAGCUGUUACUCAAGUCUUUAUAGGUGUGAGUUUUGGGCUGAAUUCACCAGUCCAAAUUAAGGAGUCUGGAUACAUGACACAUCACCUGUAAAUAACCAUGUAGACACCAGCCUCUUUUGCCACAACUCUCCAAAUGUUUGUUUUAAAUCUUCUUAUCACCUUUAAUGAGUGCUCCUUUUAGAACUCAACUCAGAGACUCAAAUUUAGUCUUUGAAUUGGUACUUAAAAAACUAUUCUCUUUUAUCAUUUAAAGGUAAGCCUACUCCCAAAAUUGAGCGUUUCACUUUUAAGGCUCAAACACUUCCUUAGGUCUCUACGAAAGUCUCUUAGGUCUCUUCAAACCAGCCCUUAGCAUCAAAUUUCUUCAUGGCAGUAAUUUGGUACCCACAAGUAAACUGACGGUUUGGAGAGGGAGAUGUUAUCAUUUCUGUUUUCUUUUGUAUCUAAUAAAAUGGAGACUGACUAUAUGAAAUCCCCUUCUAGAGCUUACCAAAAUUGUUUUUUAAAAUUCUCCUGGACGAGAGCCCCGUGGUCUUGCAGCUUAGAAGGGGUUCGGGGGGCUCCGUUUGGCUAAUUUUUAGAGACGUGCUUGGCGGAGGCUGCUCGCAGGUAACGCUUCUGAGAUGAAGGCAGGGCUCUCUGUCGCCUGCAAGGAUAUUUUACCUAGAAUGUCCUGAUUUUGGGUCCAAACUCACACUCUCCCACACUCGUGGGGUGAUAGGUAGGCUAAUAAAAGGCAAAUAGUAAUCAGAAGGGAGCCCCACAGUUUCUACCAGAGGGGUUUUGGCCAGAAAACAAAGGGAGCAGGGGCUGCUCCCUCCUCGUCCCCUGCGCCUGAAAUUCAGGCCGCCUGCAGCUACGGCCUCAGGUGAGUGGCUCAGGGAAGGGUCUCUGAGGCUCUUCCCUGGGCCCCCGGGCCUGUUUUGGGCCGCUCCCUGGGAGUGCUUUGACUUCUGCCGCCAUUCCGCUUCGUCUUUUCCUGCAAUAACACCUGCUGCCACGGAUCGAGUACACCUGACCAGAUGUAGUCAAAAGAAAAGGUCAAGAAAAGAAAAGGAAAGCCCCACCUUUCUUAAUUCCGUUUGGUAAGAGCCAGGGCUGCCAAAUCCAUUACAUAAUGCCAGUUCAAGCUGACACCUGUGCCCGCCCUGGAGCUAGAUCAGGUUCUGGCUACUGCUCCAACCUGGAACGCCGGCUCAGUAGCGCCCAAGUCGAAGGCAAAGGGGAAGAGGAACGAAGUGUGGGAUGCGGGGCGGCCCCUCGUUGGGGUUCAGUUAGGGAUUGGAUUCUGCAGGGAAUGCUCCAAGGGUGGCUCCGUAAUAAUUUGGGACCGCGAUAAAAAAAAAAUAGCCGCAGUUUCGAAGUCCCAGAGCUUUAUCAGGAAGCACUGGACGCCCCUUGCUGCUCCAGACUGGGGCAGGCUUCCAGGGGUGUCCCCUCCGACCCCGUCACGAGCGGAGGACUCACCUGCCGCGGGGCUGCCGGAAACUCUCACUCCCGCCCGCCCCCUGGGUGCUAUUGAUGCGGACCUUGGAGGUGCCUGCGGCGUGGCCUGACACGUGGACGCGGCCCAUAACCCGCCCCGGCUGCUGCUUUCCCCUGAAGGCGGACAAUGGCUUCAUUAAUCGGCCAUCGUUAAACCAACCCAGGAGAAGCCCCAUCCCGCAAUGAGGGAGCGGCAGGCUAAUUUUGCCUACGGCUGAACAGUUGGGGCAAAUGGUGGUUAACACGCUGGAUCCCUCUCUAGUAAAGGCCCGACCGUCCCGAUCUUUGGGGUCCGCACCAAUGAUCCCAUGAAAAAAAAGGUCAGCCCCCAAACUCCUAGGAAUCCACACUGUUCCUCCCCAAACUUCCUGCUCCCCGCUAAGGCAAAAGACCCCGAGCCUUGCAAACCCUUUUGUUAGAACGCGAAUUAAUGUUUCCAAGAUUUUUUCUCAAAAGAAUUAGGAGCUCUAGAGGCGACCCUUCCACUCACUAGGGCACCAUGUCAAAGGGACUUGUCAUGGCGAUUUACAAAUAUCACUAACGUGGACAGCGCUAUUGGAAUGUAACUCGGGCUUGGUUUCAUGCAGUCCUUAAGGAUUUCGUUGAGGCCCUGGAGACGUGACUAAUUCCUCCCAGUCCAUAGUGGGAAAUGCUUAUUGGACUUUUGUUGAGAUAAAAUAAAAUAAAAUAAAAGCUAGACCCAAAGCUUCGUGUGGACCUUACACACACACACACACACACACACACGCGCGCGCGCGCACAAUGAGCAAGAGGCAGUGACCUUCUCUGGACAUCGCAGGCGCCCCCCUCGCUCCCGCGUUAAAAUCACCAGAGUCAAUUCCGGGCAUCCGUCUCCACCAUCAACCCCCGCCCCUUCCCCAUUUCUCAUCAAAAGGCAGGAGAAACGUCAUAUUUUAUAUUUCUUUUCUCCACAUCUGGGCAUUUUCUUGUGCAUCAUAUCCUAAACAAAUAUUCUCCUUUUACAUUCUUGUGCGCCUAGGACGGUGUGGACCUGCGCCCCUCUUCCCCGUAGCGACUGUGUUGGAGAAACUCGCUCGGAGGACCAGUGUGCUGCGGGGGCCAAAACUCACGCUUCCCAGCCUUGGAGAGCUGGAGAACGGAGUCGGGCCCCGCCGAACCUGCGCUCGCAGAGAAUGUUAUCUUCACAGCAACUUAGCAAGCCCCACAGAACAAAAGUUAAAGCGUGAUGGCACUAUACCUUGCCCCGGGUUACUCAGGCGCCUGUCUCCCAUUUUGGACAUGCAGGAAAUGUUGGAUUUGGGGAGGUUUGCUUUGGCUGGGUUUGGGUUGUCUAUAUAAGCCCUGCUGGAGUACUGUACUGAGAAACGCGCCUUGAUGGACUCGGGUGUUAAUUAACGCGCGGCUAAUUUGAGCUUCAGGAGCGGGAGGCGGCCGGUAGCGCCGCGAGCCGCGAGGGGCCAGUGACCUCUAGUGGACAUGAGGAGAUAUGCAGCGCGAGUGAGCGUGUAGCGGAUAAAACUCUUUCCUGAGCAGCUGCUCGCGUGUCUCCUCUGAAUCCAGUGCAAGGGAGGGACACGAGUCCCCAAUUUAAGGGAGAAAGAUAAAUCAGCAAGUGGUGUCGAGCAAAGACCUUAGCUCUUCUGAUGUAUCUGAAAUCUAAAUGCAAUUUAAGCGCGCGUGCACACACACAUUGUUACUUAUCAAUUUUUCCAGCGAGAGAAGGAGAACAUAUGGAAAGGGUUUCAGAAGUGAGCGUAAAUAACUUUGGUUUCUGAACCUAGAGAAAAGCAGGGCUUUCAAAGCUCCGGAGGCACCAGCCAUUCAGGGGAAGGAGUCGGAAUGUUAUUCCGUAAACAAAGUUCAUCGGUACUCCCAAGAUUUUUUUUUUUUUCCUGUAAAGAAUUGAAAAAAAAAAAAAGUAAAAAGCUUAGUUGGGUCAACAACAAGAAAGUAAUGGAGCAAAUGAUGUGUGGAAAGGUCCAGAUGCUCCUGAGUUCACACCCCUCAGGCAAAUAAGAAGACAAAAAUAAGAACAAAAGAAUCCCUUCGCUUAACAAAAAUAAAAUAAAAGGCCAGGAGGAGAAAAUGAUCUGUUUUGGUUUUUUAACCUUCAUUUAUUUCAUUAGUUAGAUAAACUGGUGCAGAAAUUUUUGGAAAGAUCUUCCUGGUUCUUCUGCAAGGGCCAAAAGCAAACCACGGACCUGGUAGUUCACGCAGAAUACCAUUUUUUAAAAUAAACCAAAGUCUGUAUUUUAUCCUUCCCCAUUCCGCAGACCGCAGCAGACUGUGGAAGCUGGCGAGGCCCAGUAAAAUCCCGCGACCCCACAGCCUGAGCGCUCAGGGUUCCACGGUCCAGUAGAGGCUAAGCUGACCUCGCCGACGGCCGCGCUCACUUGGGCCCUUCCUCCCGGGUCUUGUUCUACGGGCGAUUGAGGAUUUCUUAGUCUCUUUCUUCCCUGGUACUCCUCCUUCGAGGGCAGAAGUCUGAAUUACUAGCAGCUACCAGCCGCUUGGAGCGGGAACUUGGAGGUGAUCCGCUCCCCGGGAGUAGCCUGUCCGUCCCAGCUCUCCUCCCUUCUGUGCCUGGCGGUUUUGCGGUACCCGAAUCUGUCCUCAAGGGUUAGGGGAGGGGUGGAUAUGGGGGAUCAGAGACACUGCCUCUUCCCAAACUGUGAGCACAGCCCGCUUGGGGUUGGUUUCACAUCGCUCAGGACUGGGGUUCCACGCCUGGAGCGCAGUUAUCCUGUUGCGCCCGCACGUGCCUCGGGAAGUGCAUCUGGGACCCCAGGUCGGGGACCACCGCGUUAGUGAGGGACAGCCGAGUCGGGGGGCAGUCUCCCCUGGUGGACAGUAUAAAGUUUGGACAGCAGGGGAAGGAAGAGCGGAACUGGAGGUUGGGGGAGGCUAGAGAGCAAUGUUUGCUCUCUGAACUUUUCCUUCUCCCCUUUGCGCCUUCGGAAAUGGCCUGGGAGUUAGCAGAGGUAGGGAAGCUGCUGUAAGAGCGAAACGUCGCCCCACUUGGCGGUGUCCGGGUCUCACAGUAGGCUCGGGUCACAGGAUGGAGGGGGUAGGGGUUCAGCUCCGCCGAGAGAGGGAGCUACCGUCCCCUCCUUUCUCGGCCGGAGACGUUAAGGGUCCCCGGUGAAUGACACCGUCCAGGAUCAGAAGUCAGUGGUGGCUAUACUCGGAAUAAGGCUGACAGUUCGCAGUGAGGGAAAACGUGUAACCUGGCAGGAUGAGGAACACGCGAUGAAAAUGAACCCAGGGAAACCGAAGAUUUCUAAGAGCUGUAUUUUAUUGUGGUCCAAAGAAAGGACUGAGAGCUGCUUAAGGGAAAUAGCAUUUAUAAAGCCAAACAUUAAAUAUAUGUUACAACAGAAAUACAAUCUUAAUGGAUAUAACUGAAUUGCAAUAGUUUAAGAAACAGUCUUUUCAGAAAACUAAACAGCGAGCAAAACAACGUUCAAUUUUAAAAAGCCCAGACGUGACUCACACAGCAACCGCCUAUGGGAAAGCAGUAGUUUUCCUUGACCCUCCCUAUACUGCGCCCCGGGAGCUCCCUGUAACCCCAGAGCAGAAAAAUCCACCAACUUUGGAAUCGAGUCAGAAAAACAAAACAAACAAAACCAUGUGGACCCCCAAGCAAGAAUUCACUAACAUUCCUGCCGGCCUUGCUUAACCUCCAUGCCCCUGGAAAGUGGCGCGAAUCACUCUUGGCACCAUUUGGGGCUCACAAAAAGGACCCACCUCCUGUUGGCCAGGCAAGCGCACACCUGAGGCAAGAGGACCAGAAGUGGAGAACAAACUGCUCAAGUUCCAGCAGUCUCCAAAUCAGAGCCCCUAUUAGCUUGGGUCCUUGCAAACUUGGGCACUCGCCUUUGGCCACGUAGCUGCCCUUUUCACCCUGCCACCAGAAACAAAGUGAACGCUCUUCUUUUCUCUGUAAGCUGGAACUUACCAAGGGCAUACUUGAGCCUACCAGGCCCCGAGGACCCCAUUUCAGGCCCAAAUGUGCCAGUUUUACCCUUGCUGGGGGUGCGCACUGCAGUCUUCAUCAACCAACUUCUAAGUGGGUGCCAAUGAGGAGCAGCCUCACGCUUUUUCUGCAGAGAGAAGGUAGAGAGAGAUGAGGGCUUUCGGUGUGGCCCUGUGACCCCAGGCUACUAUCCCAGGCUAUGGCACGUCUUCGCCAGAAAAGCAGCGACCGAGUUAUUUCCCGGUUGACAAUGCCCAGCAGCCGGGUCCUGUUAUUAUAGGGGUUAUUAGAGGGGUCGCCUUCUUCUCUAAUGGUUCCUGUUCAGAGUUUUCCCCCAGUAAGAUUUAGAAAAGACUGGACUUGAACACUUUACCUCCCAGAGUCUCUUAGAACCUGGCCCCGGAGUCGUCUCCCCUACACUCCCCCUCCCACCCCCACCCUGUUGUCCCUCAGCUGCUGGUGCGGAUGGAAAGACUCAAAGACAGACAAGAACCCCCCACCAGCCCCCACACGCUGGGAACAGGAUCGACAAUCUUUCCCAGUUUCUUGCGGAAAAUUUUCACAUGUACACACAAAAUCUGCAGUCCGAGAUAAUAGGUGAUGAGCCGUCCUGGGAACGGUGUCGCAGGCUGAGGACGUCCAAGACCUGGCGAGUCUCGGGUCAGAGGAGCGGGAGGGGGCGACCCGAGGCUCCGCGCCCCGGCUCUGUGCUGGCGGGUGGUGCUGGCUAUUUCUCUCUGCUCCCAACUAUUACAUUUCUUUUUUCCUUCGUCUUGGCUAGAGUUAUACAUUUUAUGUGUGGGGCGAUUUAGAAAACAAAAUUGGACUAUAUAAGCUAUUCCAUAUAUAAAAAAGAACCCAAAAAACCUCGCGUUUUUUUUUCUCUUGUGUUUUCCUCACUUUUCUUUUUCUCAAACUGCAAAAUUUUAGUGCUUGAAUGGCGAAUGGGGAAAAGGACCGGCCGGAGACUGAGGCACGGAACGGAGGUCUGAAAGUGAAUUUUUCAAUGCCUAGUUUACCCUUGAUGUCGCAUUCCAUCUUAAAUGGCCACGAUGAUGAUAAUCUGAGCAGUAAUAUUAGUCGAUUUUCCUGCUGUAUAGUGCGGCUUGGAGAAGUCUUGGGAAUCAAACGGCAUGAACUGAGAUUCCUGUUACACAACUUUUCAAUGAGAGAGUGAGGAAUACCUCACUCAGUCUUCGGGAACGGAGCCUUCAAAAACCCUUGUAAGGCCGGGCGCGGUGGCUCACGCAUGUAAUCCCAGCACUUUGGAAGGCCGAGACGGGCGGAUCACGAGGUCAGGAGUUCAAGCCUUGCCAACAUGGUGAAACCCCGUCUCUACUAAAAAUACAAAAAUUAGCUGGGCAUGGUGGCGCGCGCCUGUAAUCUCAGCUACUCGGGAGGCUGAGGCAGGAGAAUCGCUUGAACCGGGACCCGGGAAGCAGAGGUUGCAUUGAGCCGAGAUCGCGCCACUGCACUCCAGCCUGGGCUACAGAGCGAGACUCCGUCUCAAAAAAAAAAAGAAAGAAAGAAGAAGAAAGAAAGAAAGAAAGAAAGAAAGAAAGAAAGAAAGAAAGAAAGAAAGAAAGAAAGAAAAGAAAGAAAAGAAAAGAAAAGAAAAGAAAAAGAAAAAACCCUUGUGAGCGGCCUAAAAACUGUCCUGUGAGCAUCUCAUCUCCAUACUGGCGCUGCCACCCGCACGGACCGUCCAACUUCGCACUGUUCCAUUUUCUCUAUGUGCUUUUCAGCCCAUCCUUGGAGUUGCUCUUUAAGGAGGACUUUCGGAAUGAAACUCCACACUGCGGUUCAAAGACGCGCUUAGGACGCCCCGGGAUGGAGAGAGGACUGAGCUUUGACUGGAAUUCCUGGAACAGACGAGGGCUUGUGAGCUUGGCCCAGGCAUUGAGGACUGCAUACUCUUCCCGACAAGGGCACUUGGGUCGAAAGAAGGUGGAGCGGGUCUUCCGCAAAGGCGAAACCCUGGAGAACGCUGCCCCACCCCACCAUGUGAGCGCGGACGAGUAAUAAUCUCCUGGCCUCAGUUUCCCUCCUGUGCUUUAGAUCAAUUUUAAGAAGCUUUAUUUUUUCUAAGAUGAUUUUCCCUACAUAUUUCUUGUCUCCCUCACUGCCAUUCCCGCCCCUCCCCCCCAAAAAUACAUUGUAAAUCUUUUUCUUCCUACGGUUAAUUUUAAAGAACCACAAAAGUUUGCAUAAGACAGAAUUUACCUGCCCAUAUAUUUCUGUUGAAGGUGGAAAAUUGUUUUUACGUGACAAGUUUUAUUUCUAUUGAUUUUUAAAAAUUUUAUCUGGAAAGAAUUUGGCUCAUGAGCUAAAUAAUAUAGUUACCAUUUGCUUAACAAUUUUUAAGCUCUAGGCAUUGAGGUAAAUGCUUUAUAUAUUUUUUCUUACUCAGUCUGAGAACAACCAUGUAAAAUAGGGUUUUUCCUUCUGUUUUUCUUCCUCCUCUUCUUUCCAAUUUGAAAACUGAGGCAGAGACAUUAUAUGGCUUUCACAAAGGAAUAGAGCUAGUAAGUGGCAGAGGCAGAGUCUGAACACAACUACCAACCACUAAGUGGAAGCUCUUAGCAGAGGUCAGCUGGGUUUUCAAGUAAGGCUAUAACUGCUGAAGAGUAGCCCUUCAACCUAUGGUACUUGGUUGCCCAUUAUAAAGGAAAGCUGUGUAGUAAUUUGACUUUAUAUACCUUAAGAAAUAAUCACAGCAAAAAAAAAACCCCUAAAAAUAAUCUUUAGCUGUUAAGCAAUCAUCAUAUUGCUAGUUGCAGUAAUUCAUAUUUUGCAACUGUUUAUAUAUUAUGAGAUAAAGCAAGUAAGUCAUUAUAUUGGUGUCUUACAGAACUGAAAUUUUUCAUUAUAAGAAAAAAGGAAAUACAGGUGGAAGAUUAUGGAAAUCAAAUAAAAAUCUUACAGCCCCGGAAAGAAAAAAAAAAAAAAAAAGGAAAGCUAUGGUUAAGAAGCAAGAGUAGAAGCUGUGAGUAGUUACUACCAGUACAGAAAGCUUGAAACAGACUUGUAUUCCCACCCCAAUCAAUGCUUCUCACAGAAGCACAUUGAAUCCUCUGUUAUGUUAAUUCUGGCAAUCUCUAUCUCUUCUGGGUCAUACCAUCAAAACUCUGAAAGCAAUUCAAACAUUUUGCCACUCCCUUUGACUGUUUAUCUUUUAAAUCUGAGAUUAGAAUUGUGAAACACAUAAUGGAUUGAUAUAAAGAAGAAAUCAAGCACCAGGAAUAAAGAUUACAAAAGAGUGAGCUCCUUGAAGGUUGUUGGUAAUAGACCAAUCAUGCCAACACACAAAAAAUUAAAUAAUACUUUAAUUAAAUUUCAUACUUUUAAUAAAUUACUUUCAUCUUGUUAGUUCUGAUCUAGAAUAUCUUUGUAUUUAACAUAAAUGAGAUAAAAUUAUAAAAAGAGAUUCAUCCUCUAUUUUACAUUAUAACAUGCGUAAAGUAAAAUUUCAAAAAUUUAAAUAAAUGUGUCAGAAUAUUCAUGGAAAGUAUUCAUCUGUGAGAUUAUGUACUUAUUUGAAUAAAGUGUCUUUUUACAAUA
Long non-coding RNA from Symphalangus syndactylus (siamang), 11959 nucleotides. RefSeq lists it as uncharacterized. NCBI's taxonomy places the organism in Eukaryota, Metazoa, Chordata, Mammalia, Primates, Hylobatidae. The record is from RefSeq and is a predicted model, not a curated record.